ACAAAGGAGAAGAGGUUAUCACAAGGGAGCAGUGGAAGGCUCUUCUCUGCCAGCAAGAACACUGCCGGCCUCAGGGGACGUCCACCCAGGCAGCCAUCUGCGUCUUGGGUGGCCAGGCAGCCAGGAGUCUGGCCCUGCACAACUGCAUUCUAGAGCUGCGGCCGGGGGCCGAGCCACCGGCCAUCACCGUGGGCCUCCUCCUCUGCGCCAAGCAUCACGCUGGGUGCCGGGUGCCCUGGCGCCUUUCUACAGAGGAGCACCCCAACCUGCGGGCGCUGCAGCUCUGCCGGCUUUCUCUCUGUGCUGUCACUAUGGGUCCUGCACUGCUCUGGCUGCUCCAGGGCGGAAGGCAACUCUGCAGCCUCUGCCUGCCACGUACAGGGCUGGUGGGGCUCACUGAGGCGCCCCGCUCGGCUGCACUGGCCUCAUGCACCUCUGCAUGGAUUUCUUCCAGGCCUGGGUGGCUGAUUAGCCCGCUGUCGCUGUGCCUCACUCCUGGCCCCACCCUGGCUGCUGCCCUCACAGGCCUGCGGCAGUAUCUGGUCAGGAAGGGGGAACCACCCGUGCCCUGUGGCGGGAGGGACCAGGCACAGCGGCCUCCGCCAGGCUGAUCCCUGUCUGUGCUGCCUGGUCUCGGACCUUCACCAGGACUCGCCAGCACCGAGUCCCUGCCCGGGAACUCCCCUACCAACGCUGCCACAUACCGUCCCGGCUUCACCCAAACAGCCCCCAGGACACACUGAAGGGGACGCCGCCAAGCUGUCUGAGGCCAGUGUCUGCUACGUGUGCUUCUUCACACAAAGGAGGUGGCUGACUUGUUACAGGAGGGAGAAGAAACUAAUGAGCCAAGUAAGCUCCGUGCAUGAAUCUGGGAGCUCAGAAAGCAGGCACCGCCCUUGGGGACACAGCCAACACUGCCACCUGCUGCCUCUUCCUCUGCUCCCACUGACCUACCUACAGAAGGCGCCAGCCAGCACAAUGCAGCACCGCCUGCCAGGGUUCCCGGGAGGCCUCACAGGGAGCAGCCCACAGGUGGCCGUGUCGCAGGGGGUCCCCGAUCUCCCGCCAGGCCUCUCGGGUGGCUGAAGAGCAGCUGCUGCCCCUGGCCUUGUACCUCUCACUCAGCAGAACCAACCAAGACCCAAGUUUCCAAGAUCCCUUCCCUGUUACUCUACUGAGUGCAGAAAAUGUUAAGGACAUAAAAACUCCCAGCAGUAUG
This is a non-coding RNA of Heterocephalus glaber (naked mole-rat), 1219 nucleotides long. The record is from RefSeq and is a predicted model, not a curated record. NCBI's taxonomy places the organism in Eukaryota, Metazoa, Chordata, Mammalia, Rodentia, Bathyergidae.